GAUGAACGCUGGCGGCGUGCCUAAUACAUGCAAGUCGAGCGAACAGACGAGGAGCUUGCUCCUCUGACGUUAGCGGCGGACGGGUGAGUAACACGUGGAUAACCUACCUAUAAGACUGGGAUAACUUCGGGAAACCGGAGCUAAUACCGGACAAUAUAUUGAACCGCAUGGUUCAAUAGUGAAAGACGGUUUUGCUGUCACUUAUAGAUGGAUCCGCGCCGCAUUAGCUAGUUGGUAAGGUAACGGCUUACCAAGGCUACGAUGCGUAGCCGACCUGAGAGGGUGAUCGGCCACACUGGAACUGAGACACGGUCCAGACUCCUACGGGAGGCAGCAGUAGGGAAUCUUCCGCAAUGGGCGAAAGCCUGACGGAGCAACGCCGCGUGAGUGAUGAAGGUCUUCGGAUCGUAAAACUCUGUUAUUAGGGAAGAACAAAUGUGUAAGUAACUAUGCACGUCUUGACGGUACCUAAUCAGAAAGCCACGGCUAACUACGUG
Molecule: ribosomal RNA, 497 nt
Filed under: uncultured bacterium
Lineage: Bacteria
Description: partial 16S ribosomal RNA
Rfam family: Bacterial small subunit ribosomal RNA
Source: RNAcentral